GAGGUAUGUUAUUCAAAGAUAAGCUUCUAACUUAAUCUUUAAGCUGUGCAAUUCAGUUUGUUCCUCU
RNAcentral lists this transfer RNA (67 nucleotides) under Cryptolestes pusillus. RNAcentral's name for it is "tRNA-Ser". Lineage: Eukaryota; Metazoa; Arthropoda; Insecta; Coleoptera; Laemophloeidae. The record is from RNAcentral.